RNAcentral lists this ribosomal RNA (903 nucleotides) under Cladophialophora chaetospira. RNAcentral's name for it is "eukaryotic LSU rRNA". It matches the Rfam family "Eukaryotic large subunit ribosomal RNA", at positions 1 to 922 of the family's 3401-position model. Lineage: Eukaryota; Fungi; Ascomycota; Eurotiomycetes; Chaetothyriales; Herpotrichiellaceae. The record is from RNAcentral.
GUUGACCUCGGAUCAGGUAGGAAUACGCGCUGAACUUAAGCAUAUCAAUAAGCGCAGGAAAAGAAACCAACAGGGAUUACCUCAGUAACGGCGAGUGAAGCGGUAAUAGCUCAAAUUUGAAAUCUGGCCUCUCGGGGUCCGAGUUGUAAUUUGUAGAGGAUGUUUUGGGUACCGCCCCGGUCUAAAUUUCUUGGAACAGAAUGUCAAAGAGGGUGAGAAUCCCGUCUUGGACCGGCGGUAGGGCCUGUGUAAAACUCCUUCGACGAGUCGAGUUGUUUGGGAAUGCAGCUCAAAAUGGGUGGUAAAUUUCAUCUAAAGCUAAAUAUUGGCCAGAGACCGAUAGCGCACAAGUAGAGUGAUCGAAAGAUGAAAAGCACUUUGAAAAGAGAGUUAAACAGUAUGUGAAAUUGUUGAAAGGGAAGCGCUUGCAACCAGACUUGAGCGCGGCGGUUCCCCCGGUCUUUUGGCCGGGCUACUCCGUCGUGUCCAGGCCAACAUCGGUUCUGAGGGUCGGUCAAAGGCCUUGGGAAUGUAUCUACCUACGGGUAGACUUAUAGACCAGGGUGUCAUGCGGCCUCUCGGGACCGAGGAACGCGCUUCGGCUCGGAUGUUGGCGUAAUGGUUGUCAGCGACCCGUCUUGAAACACGGACCAAGGAGUCUAACAUCUAUGCGAGUGUUUGGGUGUCAAACCCGGAACGCGAAAUGAAAGUGAACGGAGGUAGGAAGCUUCGGCUGCACUAUCGACCGAUCCUGAAGUUUACGGAUGGAUUUGAGUAAGAGCAUAGCUGUUGGGACCCGAAAGAUGGUGAACUAUGCCUGAAUAGGGUGAAGCCAGAGGAAACUCUGGUGGAGGCUCGCAGCGGUUCUGACGUGCAAAUCGAUCGUCAAAUUUGGGUAUAGGG